RNAcentral lists this ribosomal RNA (253 nucleotides) under uncultured bacterium. Its description in RNAcentral is "partial 16S ribosomal RNA". It matches the Rfam family "Bacterial small subunit ribosomal RNA", at positions 524 to 776 of the family's 1533-position model. The record is from RNAcentral.
UACGUAGGCAGCAAGCGUUGUUCGGAGUUACUGGGCGUAAAGGGUGUGUAGGCGGUUUUUUAAGUUUGGUGUGAAAUCUCCCGGCUCAACUGGGAGGGUGCGCCGAAUACUGAAAGACUAGAGUGCGGGAGAGGAAAGUGGAAUUCCUGGUGUAGCGGUGAAAUGCGUAGAUAUCAGGAGGAACACCGGUGGUGUAGACGGCUUUCUGGACCAAUACUGACACUGAGGAGCGAAAGCCAGGGGAGCAAACGGG